This 458-nucleotide ribosomal RNA is filed under the name uncultured bacterium. Its description in RNAcentral is "partial 16S ribosomal RNA". It matches the Rfam family "Bacterial small subunit ribosomal RNA", at positions 338 to 795 of the family's 1533-position model. The record is from RNAcentral.
CCUACGGGUGGCAGCAGUGGGGAAUAUUGCACAAUGGGGGAAACCCUGAUGCAGCGACGCCGCGUGAGUGAAGAAGCGUUUCGGCGUGUAAAGCUCUGUCAGCGGGGAAGAAACACGGUUCGCGAGAGCCGCGGACGGUACCCGACCAAGAAGCCCCGGCUAACUACGUGCCAGCAGCCGCGGUAAUACGUAGGGGGCAAGCGUUAUCCGGAUUCAUUGGGUGUAAAGGGAGCGUAGACGGUGAGACAAGUCUGGAGUGAAAGGCCGUGGCCCAAACCCGGGACUGCUCUGGAAACUGCCUGGCUAGAGUACAGGAGAGGUAAGUGGAAUUCCUGGUGUAGCGGUGAAAUGCGUAGAUAUUAGGAAGAACACCAGUGGCGAAGGCGGCUUACUGGACUGUAACUGACGUUGAGGCUCGAAAGCGUGGGGAGCAAACAGGAUUAGAUACCCGAGUAGUC